RNAcentral lists this ribosomal RNA (460 nucleotides) under uncultured bacterium. RNAcentral describes it as "bacterial SSU rRNA". It matches the Rfam family "Bacterial small subunit ribosomal RNA", at positions 15 to 518 of the family's 1533-position model. The record is from RNAcentral.
GAUUAUGGCUCAGAGCGAACGCUGGCGGCAGGCCUAACACAUGCAAGUCGAGCGGCCGUAGCAAUACGGCAGCGGCAGACGGGAGAGUAACACGUGGGAACGUACCCUUCAGUUCGGAACAACCCAGGGAAACUUGGGCUAAUACCGGAUACGCCCUUACGGGGAAAGAUUUAUCGCUGAAGGAUCGGCCCGCGUCUGAUUAGCUAGUUGGUGGGGUAAUGGCCCACCAAGGCUACGAUCAGUAGCUGGUCUGAGAGGAUGAUCAGCCUCACUGGGACUGAGACACGGCCCAGACUCCUACGGGAGGCAGCAGUGGGGAAUAUUGGACAAUGGGCGCAAGCCCUGAUCCAGCCAUGCCGCGUGGGUGAUGAAGGCCUUAGGGUUGUAAAGCCCUUUCGGCGGGGAAGAUAAUGACGGUACCCGCAGAAGAAGCCCCGGCUAACUUCGUGCCAGCCGCCGC